ACACGUAGGGGCCUGACGUUGUUCGGAAUCAUUGGGCGUAAAGGGCGCGCAGGCGGCCGUCCAAGUCCGGUGUUAAAUGGUCGGGCUCAACCCGAUCAUGCGCUGGAAACUGGGCGGCUUGAGUCCCGUAGGGGAUGCCGGAAUUCCAGGUGUAGGGGUGAGAUCUGUAGAUAUCUGGAAGAACACCGAUGGCGAAGGCAGGCAUCUGGCCGGAGACUGACGCUGAGGCGCGAAGGCGCGGGGAGCGAACAGGUUUAGAUACCCUGGUAGUCCGCGCAGUAAACGAUGCGCACCAGGUGUCGGGCGGCAGCGCCCGGUACCGGAGCUAACGCGAUGAGUGCGCCGCCUGGGGAGUAUGCCCGCAAGGGUGAAACUCAAAGGAAUUGACGGGG
RNAcentral lists this ribosomal RNA (392 nucleotides) under uncultured bacterium. RNAcentral describes it as "partial 16S ribosomal RNA". It matches the Rfam family "Bacterial small subunit ribosomal RNA", at positions 523 to 918 of the family's 1533-position model. The record is from RNAcentral.